RNAcentral lists this ribosomal RNA (468 nucleotides) under uncultured bacterium. Its description in RNAcentral is "partial 16S ribosomal RNA". It matches the Rfam family "Bacterial small subunit ribosomal RNA", at positions 28 to 507 of the family's 1533-position model. The record is from RNAcentral.
GACGAACGCUGGCGGCGUGCUUAACACAUGCAAGUCGAACGGAAAGGCCCUGCUUUUGUGGGGUGCUCGAGUGGCGAACGGGUGAGUAACACGUGAGUAACCUGCCCUUGACUUUGGGAUAACUUCAGGAAACUGGGGCUAAUACCGGAUAGGAGCUCCUGCUGCAUGGUGGGGGUUGGAAAGUUUCGGCGGUUGGGGAUGGACUCGCGGCUUAUCAGCUUGUUGGUGGGGUAGUGGCUUACCAAGGCUUUGACGGGUAGCCGGCCUGAGAGGGUGACCGGCCACAUUGGGACUGAGAUACGGCCCAGACUCCUACGGGAGGCAGCAGUGGGGAAUAUUGCACAAUGGGCGGAAGCCUGAUGCAGUAACGCCGCGUGCGGGAUGACGGCUUUCGGGUUGUAAACCGCUUUCGCCUGUGACGAAGCGUGAGUGACGGUAAUGGGUAAAGAAGCACCGGCUAACUACGUG